This is a non-coding RNA of Odocoileus virginianus texanus, 1125 nucleotides long. The record is from RefSeq and is a predicted model, not a curated record. NCBI's taxonomy places the organism in Eukaryota, Metazoa, Chordata, Mammalia, Artiodactyla, Cervidae.
CUUCAGCUGUUCUACAGCCCCAGUCUGGGCCCGGGGGGGCUGGAUCUGCUUCUGGAUUACAGGAGGGAAAUGAAGUACAACCAGUACCGUCAACGGCGAGGCUGUCAAAGAAAAGAAGUGACCCCAAACAGAAAAUCAAUGACCCAGGCUGUGAUCAGCAACUCGCUGUGUUAGUUUAGUGUCAAGAAUGCGGUCAGGAUUUAAGAAAACUUUACAAUCAUAGAUCACCUCCCCAAACAAAAGCUAAUAAACAAAGAACACAUCUUUAAGGUGAGAAGAAGUUAUUAGUGAACUAUGACUGAAAUUGAUUUCUAAAUACAGCAGAAUUAAAUGUGGAGCUAUUUAAAGGUGAAGGUUGGCUUGGCUUACUCUUGAGCAGAGGAACAGAACAGGCUUCUUUGCACUGCAUCAUCGGUGGACCUCAACUGUGAAUUUCUAGUCAGCAAAUGGGCACUUCAUUUGGUGCAUCUGAGCAGAGGACAAGGGCUGUGCUAAAAACGAUCAUGUCACCAUCUGAUCUAUAACUCCAUUGAAGACAGAUCCACGGGCAAGAAGACUAAAACUUGGAGAUGACUUGUGCCAGACCAUGCAGCCAGCAGAACAGACGAUGGAGAUAGAGAUAUGCUUGAUGGUUACUUCAUGGUGGGAAUAGCAUAGACAUUAUCAGGCCUCAGAUUUACUUACAAAGCAGAACGAGAAGCCCCAGAGUCAUCUUGUGCACUUUCUGUCCAAGAACUAGAAUCUGUCAUGUCUCCACAAGCUCAGGACAUUUUCUUCUCAGCCAUGGAGGGGUCUGCCUGUUCUAACUGCAAGGAGGAGACACUGUGAAGCCAAAGUCCUGGCCUGAGAAUCCAGAGCAAGACCCAAUCCAGAGAAGAAACCAAGGCUGAGCUUCAGUGGAAUGAAGAGCAGGAGGCAGAGCGGCUGUCAGAGGCCCCCUCAGGCAAAGGUUUCUCUCUCUUGGCCGGUGGAUCAUGGGAGGGACUCCUAAAACGGAUUUCUGCCAGUUCAUCAGUUUCCUAAAUUUGCCCUUUGUCAAGUGUUCAUUUUGUACUCUUCGUGUAUAAAUGCAGAACAUUCAUUCCAUCUCAAUCUGUGUCAUUUGUAUCCAUUUCUCUGCACACU